UACGUAGGGUGCAAGCGUUGUCCGGAAUUACUGGGCGUAAAGCGCGUGUAGGCGGGUCUUUAAGUCAGGGGUGAAAUGCCAAGGCUCAACCUUGGAACUGCCUUUGAUACUGGAGAUCUUGAGUCCGGGAGAGGUGAGUGGAACUGCGAGUGUAGAGGUGAAAUUCGUAGAUAUUCGCAAGAACACCAGUGGCGAAGGCGGCUCACUGGCCCGGAACUGACGCUGAGACGCGAAAGCGUGGGGAGCAAACAGG
This 253-nucleotide ribosomal RNA is filed under the name uncultured bacterium. Its description in RNAcentral is "partial 16S ribosomal RNA". It matches the Rfam family "Bacterial small subunit ribosomal RNA", at positions 524 to 776 of the family's 1533-position model. The record is from RNAcentral.